RNAcentral lists this ribosomal RNA (674 nucleotides) under Citrobacter sp. HPC 1204. RNAcentral describes it as "bacterial SSU rRNA". It matches the Rfam family "Bacterial small subunit ribosomal RNA", at positions 30 to 708 of the family's 1533-position model. The record is from RNAcentral. Lineage: Bacteria; Pseudomonadati; Pseudomonadota; Gammaproteobacteria; Enterobacterales; Enterobacteriaceae.
UAAACGAGGUAGGCCUACAUUUGAACGUCUUACCGUAGGACUUAGAACCUUGCUCCUUGGGUGACGAGUGGCGGACGGGUGAGUAAUGUCUGGGAAACUGCCCGAUGGAGGGGGAUAACUACUGGAAACGGUAGCUAAUACCGCAUAACGUCGCAAGACCAAAGAGGGGGACCUUCGGGCCUCUUGCCAUCGGAUGUGCCCAGAUGGGAUUAGCUAGUAGGUGGGGUAACGGCUCACCUAGGCGACGAUCCCUAGCUGGUCUGAGAGGAUGACCAGCCACACUGGAACUGAGACACGGUCCAGACUCCUACGGGAGGCAGCAGUGGGGAAUAUUGCACAAUGGGCGCAAGCCUGAUGCAGCCAUGCCGCGUGUAUGAAGAAGGCCUUCGGGUUGUAAAGUACUUUCAGCGAGGAGGAAGGUGUUGUGGUUAAUAACCGCAGCAAUUGACGUUACUCGCAGAAGAAGCACCGGCUAACUCCGUGCCAGCAGCCGCGGUAAUACGGAGGGUGCAAGCGUUAAUCGGAAUUACUGGGCGUAAAGCGCACGCAGGCGGUCUGUCAAGUCGGAUGUAAAUCCCCGGGCUCACCUGGGAACUGCAUCCAAACUGGGGUAAUCUUGUGAGGGGGGUAGAAUUCCGGUGUAGCGGUGAAAUGCGUAAAGAUCUGGAGGAAAC